This 447-nucleotide ribosomal RNA is filed under the name uncultured bacterium. RNAcentral describes it as "bacterial SSU rRNA". It matches the Rfam family "Bacterial small subunit ribosomal RNA", at positions 330 to 792 of the family's 1533-position model. The record is from RNAcentral.
UCCAGACUCCUACGGGAGGCAGCAGUGGGGAAUAUUGGGCAAUGGACGCAAGUCUGACCCAGCAACGCCGCGUGAAGGAAGAAGGCUUUCGGGUUGUAAACUUCUUUUAAGGGGGAAGAGCAGAAGACGGUACCCCUUGAAUAAGCCACGGCUAACUACGUGCCAGCAGCCGCGGUAAUACGUAGGGGGCAAGCGUUAUCCGGAUUUACUGGGUGUAAAGGGAGCGUGGACGGCAAUACAAGUCGGAAGUGAAAUACCCGGGCUUAACCUGGGAACUGCUUUGGAAACUGUAUGGCUGGAGUGCUGGAGAGGUAAGCGGAAUUCCUAGUGUAGCGGUGAAAUGCGUAGAUAUUAGGAGGAACACCAGUGGCGAAGGCGGCUUACUGGACAGUAACUGACGUUGAGGCUCGAAAGCGUGGGGAGCAAACAGGAUUAGAUACCCUAGUA